UUGCUGAAGCAAUGGUCUUUAGCCAUGGGAUGUAGAAUUAUAUAAGUGAUCUAUCAAAUGUGGCGAUUCAAAAUAUUUUAUGACAAAAUACCUGAGUCAGUCCCAUGCCAAAGGCAAACUUUGCAAGAGCUUUCAAGCGUGCAAGGGAAAGCUCCAAUCCCAUUUCAAAAAGCUGUAAAAUGAUACUUCCUUCAGUUAACUCCAGCCUUGCAACAUUCUUAACAAACAAAAACCAAGCAAUACAAGAGAAAGAAUACAGCAUAUGAUGAAAAUGGGAGAAGAGAAAAUUUUGAAUUAACAAGUUGAAUCUGCAAUCCUGUGAU
RNAcentral lists this long non-coding RNA (323 nucleotides) under Nicotiana benthamiana. RNAcentral describes it as "long non-coding RNA (NBEN_LNC002976)". Lineage: Eukaryota; Viridiplantae; Streptophyta; Magnoliopsida; Solanales; Solanaceae. The record is from RNAcentral.